CGAAGCCACUGUAUUUUUAGAUCUGGCUGUGGUGGCUGAAGACGCGACGAUGGAGCGUUGCGGUGGCUCCGAUCUGGUUGUGGCCACAGUUUUGGAUUGAUGAAGUCGGGGUCGUGUUUUGACGAUGGUUGUUGUUUUUGGUGAUGUGGGUGUAGGGUUUGGUCGAUUCAAGUGUUGUGGUUGUUUGAAGGUCUGGUGGUUUCUUGGAUUGAUGAGGCUUGAAGAUGAUGCAGGUCUCGUGGUUUAGUGUUUAUGGAAUUCAUGAACUUUGUAUUAAUUGGUUUUGAUUCUAGUUUGGUUUGAUUUCAAAAAUGUUUUGGAUGAAUGUGAA
Molecule: long non-coding RNA, 331 nt
Filed under: Lotus japonicus
Lineage: Eukaryota; Viridiplantae; Streptophyta; Magnoliopsida; Fabales; Fabaceae
Description: long non-coding RNA (LJAP_LNC001091)
Source: RNAcentral